RNAcentral lists this ribosomal RNA (492 nucleotides) under uncultured bacterium. Its description in RNAcentral is "partial 16S ribosomal RNA". It matches the Rfam family "Bacterial small subunit ribosomal RNA", at positions 29 to 507 of the family's 1533-position model. The record is from RNAcentral.
AGUGAACGCUGGCGGUAGGCCUAACACAUGCAAGUCGAACGGCAGCACAGUAAGAGCUUGCUCUUACGGGUGGCGAGUGGCGGACGGGUGAGGAAUACAUCGGAAUCUACUUUUUCGUGGGGGAUAACGUAGGGAAACUUACGCUAAUACCGCAUACGGCCUACGGGUGAAAGCAGGGGAUCUUCGGACCUUGCGCGAUUGAAUGAGCCGAUGUCGGAUUAGCUAGUUGGCGGGGUAAAGGCCCACCAAGGCGACGAUCCGUAGCCGGUCUGAGAGGAUGAUCAGCCACACUGGAACUGAGACACGGUCCAGACUCCUACGGGAGGAAGCAGUGGGGAAUAUUGGACAAUGGGCGCAAGCCUGAUCCAGCCAUACCGCGUGGGUGAAGAAGGCCUUCGGGUUGUAAAGCCCUUUUGUUGGGAAAGAAAAGCAGCAGGUUAAUACCCCGCUGUUCUGACGGUACCCAAAGAAUAAGCACCGGCUAACUUCGUG